GAUGGACGCUGGCGGCGUGCCUAACACAUGCAAGUCGAACGGAGUCCAGCCUUUAAGACCUUCGGGUCAAAGAGGGGAAGACUGAGUGGCGGACGGGUGAGUAACACGUGGGCAACCUGGCUCAUAGAGGGGGAUAACAGAGAGAAAUUUCUGCUAAUACCGCAUAAGCACACCCUGCCGCAUGGCAGAGGGUGAAAAGAGAAUCGCUAUGAGAUGGACCCGCGUCUGAUUAGCCAGUUGGCAGGGUAAGAGCCUACCAAAGCGACGAUCAGUAGCCGAUCUGAGAGGAUGAACGGCCACAUUGGGACUGAGACACGGCCCAAACUCCUACGGGAGGCAGCAGUGGGGGAUAUUGCACAAUGGGGGGAACCCUGAUGCAGCGACGCCGCGUGAGUGAAGAAGUAUUUCGGUAUGUAAAGCUCUAUCAGCAGGGAAGAUAAUGACAGUACCUGAAUAAGAAGCCCCGGCUAACUACGUG
Molecule: ribosomal RNA, 478 nt
Filed under: uncultured bacterium
Lineage: Bacteria
Description: partial 16S ribosomal RNA
Rfam family: Bacterial small subunit ribosomal RNA
Source: RNAcentral